RNAcentral lists this long non-coding RNA (214 nucleotides) under Ananas comosus (pineapple). Its description in RNAcentral is "long non-coding RNA (ACOM_LNC025998)". Lineage: Eukaryota; Viridiplantae; Streptophyta; Magnoliopsida; Poales; Bromeliaceae. The record is from RNAcentral.
AAACGGCUCCGAAAUAUGACCCUCGAAGUUUGCGCCCUUCGACAGAUCAAGCGAUUCGGCUGAUGAAGGAUCGGAUCAGCCGGGUUCGAAGACCUUUACCGUAAAAUCGGUUCGGCUGGAUGAGCCGAAUGUAUGAACUGUGCAGGGAUCAAUAUCAGCAGAAGAGCCGAAUAGAAGAAGUACAGAGUAACUGGUCGGCUGAAAGAGCCGAAUG